AAGAUUAGAAAUCUGCUGCACGGGAGAGGACUCAAGAUGGUGCUGUGAGAACAACCCAGGAUUGGAGCUCGCAUUGAAUCUGCAAACGUUGCCUAGGAGAAAGCAACCAUGAUGGGCAUGGAAUGAUUGUGCAAGUUCACAGAAGAGAGGAUUUCAGACAGGGUAUAAGACAUGACCAAAUCAUGAUACUGCUUGACCUCUACUCCAGACUCCUCUCACCAGAUGUCUUGAAUUUGGAGAAAAUUAAUUACGAAUUACAUUUAGAACAUGUUGGUUGAAGAUACCUGAUGUUGAAAAUCAGAGUAAAAGGUGUAACCCUCAGAAUAAUUCUGUGAGGUCAUCAGAGAUCAGAGUUUACAAAGAAAACUAAUGAGCUAAAUACCAAGAUGACUAUCUCUACUCUAUAAAAGAAUGGACACAGGAUGGCUUUCAUGCUUGGCUGGUUAGUUGAAAGAGAAGUUGCAACAGAUAACAAGAAAAUGGAUUAAAACAAUUUAUUAAGUAUUUAAAUUUCAAAAAUAAAAGGUGUAGAAUGUGGAAAGAAAGA
Long non-coding RNA from Callithrix jacchus (white-tufted-ear marmoset), 547 nucleotides. RefSeq lists it as uncharacterized. Lineage: Eukaryota; Metazoa; Chordata; Mammalia; Primates; Cebidae. The record is from RefSeq and is a predicted model, not a curated record.